This is a long non-coding RNA of Spinacia oleracea (spinach), 5782 nucleotides long. RefSeq lists it as uncharacterized. The transcript is spliced from 3 exons. The record is from RefSeq and is a predicted model, not a curated record. NCBI's taxonomy places the organism in Eukaryota, Viridiplantae, Streptophyta, Magnoliopsida, Caryophyllales, Amaranthaceae.
CUUAACUAGAAGCCUAUUAUUUCAUUUACUAAAAGAAACCAAACACCCAACCCAAUCUCCUUCAUUUCCCCUUCUCUCUCCCCAUGGUCAGUCUCUCUCCCCCUCCUUUGCUCUCUGCUCCACCGCACCACCUACGUCGUACUCUCUUCUCCUUCGCCGGCGCGGUGGUUGGAGUGUUCCUAGUGUCGUUGUCGGUCUGUCCUUGCUCCGCAUCCCUCUCAUCUCCUCCCUUCUCUGGUCCAAGCUGGGUGCCGCCGUCUCCGGUGGUGGCUGCAAAACCACCCUCAUCUUGGUUCUCUUCUCAAUUGGUAAAUUUACUUGAACUCUUUUGUCAAUUGUAUUUAAUUAAAAACCCCCCAAAUUGAAGAAACCCUAACUUUCUUCUUCAAUUUUCUCUCUCCUCUUGUCCGGUGCACCACCUUCUCCGUCGGAGUCAGGGGCUGCUGGAGCAGCUACUGCUGCUGCUACUGUUGUCGUUGCCGCUGCUGUUGUUCGAGUUGCUGCUGCUGCUAUUGUUGUUUUCGUUGUUGAUUAUUGAUUUGAUUUCCCUAUAUCUGAUCUCUAUUUUCCUUAAGGGUAUGAUCUCAAACUAUCCUCCCGAAUUUCUUUUCAUUUAGCCAAUUUAUUCAAUUCUAGUUUACCGAUUCAAUUGAAGUAGUGGUUGAAUUAAAUUGUGCUUUGGUGUGUUAUUAGUUAAUAAAGUAGGAAGUAAUCCUAACCAUCAAGAAGUAAUCUCAAAUUUUGUAAACAAGGAAUUUGAAAGUAUUAGUUUGUUUCGAAAAAGAUUUUGAAUAGCUAUGAAAUUAAGAUUUUCAAUUUGAUAAUUUAAUCAAUUAAUAUUCAUUAAGCAUAUAAAUUUAAUUGUUGAAUUUUAUGUUUUCAAUCACAAACUAUGAUUAGCGAAUCCAAUAUGGUUUUUCUUAAAAUAAAAUACGUGCUAUGUAGUUCUAAGUUAGGUUUUUCGAAAAUCAAUUGAGAUUUCAAAGAGAAUUCAUUAAGUCCUAGUUAUAAUAGAGUGGGUAGUUUAUUAAUUUAAGUCUUUUUUUUGUCGAGGGAUUGAUUGAGGAUGGUUUAAGAAGAUUUGAGUCAUGAAGUUAAGCGAACGAUGAUGAUCGAAUAUGUAGCUUUGGGAUUUAUGAAUGGUUAUUGAAGAGUUAAAGUGUUUUGCAGGUAGCAAAAGUUAGGUCUCAGUUCAGGUUCAAGGUUCGUAGAGUUCUCCGAUGGCCUUAUGUGUCCAAGGUUGGAGUAUGGAUUCGCCAAAUGUAAUUUAGUUCCUAGAGUUUGUUAAUGCGCUGUAUAAUUUCUUCUUAAAUCUUUUGAUUUAUAAUUUAUGGAUUACAUAUCUGUAUUGGAGUCGUAUCUAAGUUAAGUUUCUUUGGUUUAAAGUUAAGUGUGCUGAGAAGUAGCUUAUUAAGUGUGGGUUGUUGCAGUGACGCCUUGGUAAUGUUUUGGAAUAUGUUAUAUGUUGGAAUGGUGUAAUUGAAGCAGGUGAAAAAGGUUAUGACGUAAUAUCCUAAGCAAUGUUUUAGGUUGUCCAUAUUUAGGGGAAGUGCUACCGAUUUUUUUUUUUAAUAAUUAAUUAAGUUUAAGAGUUUUAAUUAGUGUUUUUGAGAUAGGCUAAACCCGUGAUUAAUCCUUGAAGUGGUUUGAAGAGUUAAAGUUUGUUUCGCAGGGUUUUUAGUUGUAAUUUUGUUGAGUUUGUUUAAAUUAAGACUAAGUAUGUUUAGGAAGCAGCUCGUUAAGGGCGGCCUGUUACAGGUGGUAUUAGAGCCAAAGUUUUUGGGUUUGGUUGUGAUCUUCAUAUCACGGCGUAUGAGUUGGGAACAGGCUUGUUGGAUCAGGAAAUAGUGGAAAUAAUUUUGGAAAUUGUUUUUAGGAGGAUAAGCUUAUAGUCUUGAGUUUGCAAUUGAGGAAUCGAGAAUUAAUUGAUUUGGAAUGGUUUGGUAGUGAAACAAUUGAUUUCGACAAUUUGGUUAUAGAGAUACGUACUAGCCAAAGUGGCUAUAGAAAUUAUCCGAGAAUAUAUAAGAUCAAAUUAUUGUGAUGUAAUUUUUGAUAUUUUGGAAGAUUGUGGGUUGGAACUUGAACAUUUAAGUUGGCAAUUGAUAAGUUCAGUGAGCUGGGAAAUGUAAAUUUAGAGAUGUGAAUGUUUUAAGAAUAUUAAGUUAUCCAUUUUUUUUUGUUUAAUAGCUAAAGUUAGAAGUUUAAGAUAAGAAAUUAAUUGAGCCUAUUGUAUAGUAGAGAUCAUAGACAUGAGGCAUCGAAGUAUUGCGAAUUGAUCUGGAUAUAUGAGGUUAUUUAAAGGUUAGUGUCGAGAAUAUGAGUUGGAAAGACAGGUUGGAUAUAAGAAUUCGUAUCAUGUUAUGGAGAUAUGAAUAAAUUUCUAGGAUUAAAGUGAUUAUGAGUAUAUAGGAUGAAUUUGCUAUGGUAUGGAUUGUGGAAUAUUGUGGAUUCAAAUGUUGGUGAUUAAGUUGAUAUUUGAGAAGUUUGGUCUAGAGGCUCAGAGUUGAGUUGAAAGUAUGUGUCUAGAAUUUUAAAUUCUAUUUGUUAGAUAGAAGUUAAAUGUUCAAUUUUAGAAGAUUGAGAUGUAAAAGCAUUGGAAUUUUGGUUUAGUUAGGUUCGAAUGAUUUAAAUUUUAUGGUUUGGGUAAAGCUUGGAUAUUAGAAAUAAAGAAGCGUUUGAACUUGAAAAAUUAAGUAUAUUUGUGGAAAUAUUUGCUGAUAAAUUUGGAUAUAUGAUAGAAACAAUUAAGGAUUAGAAUUAGAAUUAGAAUUUUAAUGUGAUCUAGAGAUUAGUAGUGUGUUGGAAUUAUGAGCCGAGAAUUAGAGUUUUGUGAUUUUUUACUUGUUUUAUUUGUUGUUAUUAGGAUUAUUGAAAAGAAAUAAAUUCGAGUCCAGAUAGGUCGAGAUAGGGAAUUAAAGUGUUGGAGAUAUAAAGAUGAGUAUUGGGAAAUAGUAUAAAUUGUUUGUGGUAUCCAUUCUUUAUGUGUAAGUAUGUUAUAGGCUUUGUAUUAUCAUUUAUUUACCUUUAAAACAAUGUUUCUAUUUUAAACUUUAAUAAACAAAAAUGUAUUAUAAAGCAUAUUUUAAACGUUUUAACCAAACAUUUUUCGAAUUUUUGUUUGCAAAUUGUUGAUUGAACUUCUUCAAAUAUGAUUCCACUUCUAUCCAAGCACUCCUAGUAGUUGAGAUUCUUCCACAUUUAAACCCUUAGUAUCCAUACAUGGCUCAUAAGAUUUGGCAUCAUAGCAUUAUUUCCUUUAGUAAUUUCUUUCCAUUCAAUUUGUUCCAAGUGCCAAUGAUUUUGUUCCUUGACAAAUUCUGACAUGAAGGUGUGAGAAUAUCUUCCCUUAUUUGAUUUCGAUGAAAUCUUCUAUCCAUUCUUAACCUCAAUCCCUUUGAGUAGUACUCCCAAGAGUAAACUUAUGCCCUUCACUUGCUCUUAAUCAAGUUUUUAUGCAAGACUAAUCCAGAACUUUUCCUCUAUGUCUAACCGAAAUUGUUCAGUCCUCUUGGAAUUGUCUCAAUAAUUUUCAAUUCUAGUUUAUUCGAUUUUCAAACAUUUCUCAUUAGAGAUUGAUAUUUUAUUUACUACUAUAUCAUGAUUUACAAAAGUAGUUUCAGAAGGAUAUAACUCUUCACAUUAUUUAAAGUUUUAUAUUGUCCAAUUUGUUUCGAGGACGAAACUUAUUUUAAGGGUGGUAUAGUGUAAUAGCCCUGAUUUUAAGCAGCUCUUAGUAUGAUUUUAAAAGUGAUUAUCGUCUUAAACGUGUUAUUAGAAUUUUUCUUAAACCUAAUUUGAGAUUAAGAUCGUUAUUAAGUUGGUGAAUGAAAUUGAAUUCUUAUUUAUUAGUCUUCGAAUUGAUUCUAGAGUUUUACCUUGAGAUAAAUGUCUAGAAGUUUCUUUGUUUAAAGAGUUUAGAUUUUUGUUAAAUUUUAAAUUAAUUUAUCUAAACUCAAUAAUUUAUCUUGGAAUUAGGAUUUUAAUUUUAAAUCAGAUCAGUCACAAACAAUGUAUUAUUUUACUUUUAUUUAUUUAGUUAAUUUAUUUGCCUUUGAUAUAUUCCCUAAACAAAAAAUUUACAAGUCCUUAAUUUAGUGUUUAAUAUUUUAUUUUGGAAUUUACAAAUCUGAUUUUUGUUGAUUAAAAUAGAUAACCAAAUCGUGUUACUUUUGUCAAAUUUCCAUUUACUCUAUAGCUUAAGUGGCAAGACUUUCUAGAGAAAUCUAAGCUUAACUAGAAGCCUAUUAUUUCAUUUACUAAAAGAAACCAAAAACCCAACCCAAUCUCCUUCAUUUCCCCUUCUCUCUCCUCACGGUCAGUCUCUCUCCUCCUCCUUUGCUCUCUGCUCCACCGCACCACCGACGCCGUACUCUCUUCUCCUCCGCCGGCGCGGUGGUUGGUGUGUGUUGCUAGUGUCGUUGUCGGUCUGUCCUUGCUCCGCAUCCCUCUCAUCUCCUCCCUUCUCUCGUCCAAGCUAGGUGCCGCUGCCGCCGGUGGUGGCUGCAAAACCACCCUCAUCUUGGUUCUCUUCUCAAUUGGUAAAUUUACUUGAACUCUUUUGUCAAUUGUAUUUAAUUAAAAACCCUCAAAUUGAAGAAACCCUAACUUUCUUCUUCAAUUUUCUCUCUCCUCUUGUCCGGUGCACCACCUUCUCCGUCGGAGUCAGGGGCUGCCGGAGCAGCUACCGCUGCUGCUACUGUUGUCGUUGCCGCUGCUGUUGUUCGAGUUGCUGUUGCUGCUAUUGUUGUUUUCGUUGUUGAUUAUUGAUUUGAUUUUCCUAUAUCUGAUCUCUAUUUUCCUUAAGGGUAUGAUCUCAAACUAUCCUCCCGAAUUUCUUUUCAUUUAGCAAAUUUAUUCAAUUCUAGUUUACCGAUUCAAUUGAAGUAGUGGUUGAAUUAAAUUUUGCUUUGGUGUGUUAUUAGUUAAUAAAGUAGGAAGUAAUCCUAACCAUCAAGAAGUAAUCUCAAAUUUUGUAAACAGGGAAUUUGAAAGUAUUAGUUUGUUUCGAAAAAGUUUUUGAAUAGCUAUGAAAUUAAGAUUUUCAAUUUGAUAAUUUAAUCAAUUAAUAUUCAUUAAGCAUAUAAAUUUAAUUGUUGAAUUUUAUGUUUUCAAUCACAAACUAUGAUUAUCGAAUCCAAUAUGGUUUUUCUUAAAAUAAAAUACGUGCUAUGUAGUUCAAGUUAGGUUUUUCGAAAAUCAAUUGAGAUUUCAAAGAGAAUUCAUUAAGUCCUAGUUAUAAUAGAGUGGGUAGUUUAUUAAUUUAAGUCUUUUUUUUUUGUCGAGGGAUUGAUGGAGAAUGGUUUAAGAAGAUUUGAGUCAUGAAGUUAAGCGAACGAUGAUGAUCGAAUAUGUAGCUUUGGGAUUUAUGAAUGGUUAUUGAAGAAUUAAAGUGUUUUCCAGGUAGCAAGAGUUAGGUCUCAGUUCAGGUUCAAGGUUCGUAGAGUUCUCCGAUGGCCUUAUGUGUCCAAGGUUGGAGUAUGGAUUCGCCAAAUGUAAUUUAGUUCCUAGAGUUUGUUAAUGCGCUGUAUAAUUUCUUCUUAAAGCUUUUGGUUUGUAAUUUAUGGAUUACAUAUCUGUAUUGGAGUCGUAGCUAAGUUAAGUUUCUUUGGUUUAAAGUUAAGUGUGCUGAGAAGUAGCUUAUUAAGUGUGGGUUGUUGCAGUGACGCCUUGGUAAUGUUUUGGAAUAUGUUAUAUGUUGGAAUGAUGUAAUUGAAGGAGGUGAAAAAGGUUAUGACGUAAUAUCCUAAGCAAUGUUUUAGGUUGUCCAUAUUUAGGGGAA